RNAcentral lists this long non-coding RNA (3086 nucleotides) under Homo sapiens (human). RNAcentral's name for it is "uncharacterized LOC651337 (LOC651337)". The record is from RNAcentral. Lineage: Eukaryota; Metazoa; Chordata; Mammalia; Primates; Hominidae.
CUUACACCUGCGUGAGCGUCACCCCGGCUGAGGCGCUGGCAGAAGGCGGUGCGGGUGGAGCCUUCGCCAACGUCCUGGGCCCCCUGAGUGCUGCAUGCCAGUCCUACCAGCCGCUCGGUCAUCUGCCACCGCCCAGCAAUGGCUUCAGCAUGCAGUCCCUGCUAGGGGACUCCAGGGAGGAGCAUCCUGGCCAGGGCUGGUGCCACAGAGCAGCCCAGCUUCUGCAGGCAGAUGACAGAAGAGCAGACCGAUGAAAACAUGAGUGUCUGUGGUGAGUUCGGAUGGCAGCGUGUGGCACCUCGCUCAGUGCUCUCCAGAAACUGCAGACACGGCAUGAAAUCUUGCAACACGAGGGACCAGGACACCGAAGGGCAGCAGGGGAGAUGACUCCACAUGACCAAGACGGGAGCCCGGGAGAGAUGAGGCCACACGGCCAAGAUGGGAGCCCAGGGGAGAUGACACCACAUGAGACCAAGACCGGAGCCGGAGGGAGAGAUGACGCCACACGACCAAGACUGGAGCUGGAGGGAGAUGACUCCACACAACCAAGACCAGAGCCCGGGAGAGAUGACUCCACACGACCAAGACCGGAGCCCGGGAGAGAUGACUCCACACGACCAAGACCAGAGCCCGGGGGAGAUGACACCACAGGCCCUCACUGGUGUGGCCAGAGCCUGCCCAAAGAGUGUGUGUGAGAUGUGAGACACCCCUGCAGAUGCUGAAACCCUGAGAAACAGCACCCUUGGAUUCAGGGCAAACUAGAGAUAAAGCCAAUCUCUCUCUCUUCCUGGAGAAUCUCAGGAAAACCGCUUAGAUUCUAAGGGGAAGAAAAAAUAGAAAUCCCUCUAAGACCAGCAACAGUAAGUUCUGCAGGACGGGUUAUCAAAUUAAACAUCAGGCUAGGAAUUUAACCCGAAGUUCCAGACUGGUCAGACCCCGGGCACUGCAUGGACAGCAGCACCAAGGGACAUAAUGAUUUCCUCCCAAUACAUCAUGUUAUUUCACGGCACUAAACUCACAAGAGGCUGUAAAACAGAACGAAGAGCUCUGUACUCCCCUCACUCGGCCUCCCCAAAGACGACGUUUCAGACAAGCACAGAGCACAGGCAGUCAGCAGGGAGCCCUGGCAGGGCCAGGCCACUCAGCCCCACAGCCAUGUCCCUUUUCUACACUCCCUUGUUUUCCUGACUGACGGAAGCAGACACAAAGGAACUCACGCUGGACAACUCAGUUAGCAUAAAGGUUAAAAGCAAACAAACGGAACCCUGCUAUGCGAGGCACUUGCAGGGCGGUGAGACCAAAACGGCUGCUGUUCCCGGGGAGGGCACCCAGGCGUCCACCAGGUGUCCAGGGAGCCAGCAACGCUGUGUCUCACGGGGGUGCGAAUGUCAGGGCCAGAGUAGGAUGAUUUGUUAACCAGAUGUUUACAUUUUAAGGACCUUUCUGUAUGCAUGAUGCAACCAUAUGUUUUUGGGUUUUAAUUUUAAUAUUUAAAAAAGAAAGCCAAAGAGAACCCAGUGUCUUUCAAAGGAGUGACAAGCUAAAUUCUCAAAAGGAAGAAUGGAAGUCAGAAGACAGUGGCAUCAUUCCUUACAUGACCUGAGGAAAACCACCAGCAACCUGGAAUUCCAGGCACAGGAGGAAUGUCUUCAAGAAGCCUCCACAGCCAGCAGUGGACAUGGAGAAUGGGCUCAGCACGGCCCACCCUCACGGGCUCAGCACACCCCACCCUCAGGGGCUCAGCACGGCCCACCCUCACGGGCUCAGCGCACCCCACCCUCACGGGCUCAGCGCACCCACAUUCAUGGCCUUGCCCAGCUCCUGGGGCCAUCGGGGUAGCACUCAUACAGCCCUUGUUCCUGUCUGGUCCAUUCCCCCACGUGGCUCUGCACACUCAUCCCCAUUCAGGUCCAUCCGCAACAGAACAGAAUCAUGCCACACCCUUCACUAGGCCUCCCAGGAGAGGAGAGGGCCUCCCAGCCGAAUGCCUGGCCCUCCACCAGCAUCUGCUCUCGAGCCCCACAACACCAGCUCCUGCCUCUUCCAGACCACGCUCUUCCUCUUCCUCAGAGCCCCACCUAUGAACGUCCUGGCAUCACUCCUGCCCUGAACAGCCCAGCCCUCACUCCAGCUCUGCCUGUGUCUGGACGACCACCCCCCACUCCCUGACCUCACCCCCUCCCACAAGCCUGUUCCCACCAGAUCAGCCACUUCCCUCAUGGUCUCACCAUGAACCACAGCCCACAUGACUCGUCUUGAGGCCACCCCACUGUCUCUGAAUCCUUUUCUGCUUCUCCCUGACAUACCCAGCAGCCUCCGUGGCUCCUCCUGCAUGGAGCUGGCCCCCAGUGCCCCCAGUGCCUACCUCGGCUCAGCGCUUCUCACGGCACACUUUCCUCUCAGCCUCCAGGAGCCCCCCACAAACCCCUGGCUUACUGGACCCCAGUUCACUCAGCUGCUCCCUCCCUCACCCCCCUGCCAGGGCUUGGCUCCCCCAUCAUCAUCUCAUUCAGUCUUGACCUUGGUAAGUCAAGUCUGCAUGUGAGACUGACAGGAACCACUGGGGCAAAAACUGGAAAGUUUGUAACUAACAGAGAGAAGAGAAAUGGCAAAAUCAAAAUAAAACCAAUUCAAAAGACGCAAGAACGACCAAAAAGUGGAAAGUCUGUAACUUCCAGAGAGAAGAGAAACGGCAAAAUCGAAAUAAAACCAAUUCAAAAGAUGCACGAACGACCAAAAAAGUAUUGGCUUCAAAAGGCUGGCACUAUGGUCUGAAUGCAAUUUAUUUACCGGGGCUGGGGGCCCCAAUGAGGUUUUGAGGCUGGGCCUUUAAGAGGCUACGAGGCUGUGAAGAUGGAGCCACGCCUCUCUGAAAGGCGGAGUCAGCCCCCAGGAAUGGACCUGCUCCCUGUGGGCGGCCUGGUCCACAGCAAGGCUGUGCUGGAGCAUCUUCCUCUUGGCGUGGUUCCUGGCUGUGUUCGGGAACAGCACGAGGUCCUCACCAUAAGUCACCAAAGGCAGCCCCUCGACCUUGGGCUUCCCAGCCUGCAGAACUGUGAGAAAUAAAUUUCUUUUCUUUAUAAAUG